Ictidomys tridecemlineatus (thirteen-lined ground squirrel) is the source of this 1761-nucleotide non-coding RNA. The record is from RefSeq and is a predicted model, not a curated record. Lineage: Eukaryota; Metazoa; Chordata; Mammalia; Rodentia; Sciuridae.
CCAAGACAGCUCUCUGGCUCCAUAAAGCUCUCUGAGGUUGAAGGUUGGUGCAUGCCAGACAAGGCGGAGCCCAGCAAACAACAGGGGUCUCCUUAGCAGUUUGGAACUUUCACAUAAAUGCCAGCUUGCAGGCGACUCUGACCUGUUCAACUGUGGCCCAGGCCCCUGCAGUAAGCCUCAGUUCAGCUUCAUCCAGCAAAUCCUGCCUCUGACAGAAUCUGACGCCUAUUUCCCCAGCCCAUCCUGGGUGGCAACCAUGAUUCUGAGUCAACAAGACCUGGCCCCUGACUGCCACGGAGAAGCUCAGACUUAAGAUGGACGGGGUAGGAAGAUAGUUGACCCCUAGAUCCCAAAAUGGAUAGUGAGCAGCUGAUGGAAAGAAAAGAGGCUAAGAUUAACACCAUUUGGAAAGCGGGUGCUUCAUUCAGCACCUACUGAGGAGCCACUGACAAUUCUUAAGCAGAAGACUAAGAUCAUCUUCCUGGUGCCACCUGCAGACCCAGAAGUCAAGCUGGUGGGAUUAGACCUCUCAGUCCAUGGGCUGGGAAGCUGCCAGCCAUGAGCACAGAGGCACGGCCAGUGAGUCCAUUUCUCUGCCUACUCGGAGCCCCCAGAACUUGACAGCAGGCACAAAACAACCUGGCUCUGCCCCAAGCCCAAACACAGGGGGGAAAGGACAGGUGGCGAAGCACUUACAAAAGCUGGAAAAGAAGGCAGAUUUUUUUUUCCCCCUACCAUGUAGGAGCUUUUAUUACUAGAAAAAUAAAAUCCUGUCUGAGCAAAUGCCAGGAAAACGAUUAAGGGCUCAAUUCAGAUCGGGAGGUUCGGCUGGGCACUGCUGAGCAGGGAGCUAAACAAUGUCAGCCCCUCUCUCAGUGCACAUCACGUUUGGGGUGAGUGGCCCAAGCCCCAGCCAGGCCUCUUGCCGCCAGUUUUGCAGAAUCACAGUUAAGCUUUGGUCACUUGGUUUCAGUUGAAAGAAUUGUGUGGAAGAAGGAAUAAAAGGUUCUUGCAUGCACACCAGCUCUUGCCUCCAAGGACUAAGAAGAAAUGCAGCGGGGACGGUGCCAGGCCCUACAGCAAUGCUUCUUCCUUAUGGUUCUCAGGCUCCCCAACCUGACCCAGGAAGGGCAUGAGAUGGUAGAGGAGCAGGGCUGGUUUGGGAGCCCCUUUAUACUGCCUGUGGCGACUUUAGGCAAGAUUUUAAUUUCUCUGAGUCUCAGUGUCUUCAUCUAUUAAGCGGAGAUAAUAAUGCACAGGGUUAUUAUGGGGAUAAAAUGACAUAAUAUAUGUAGAGUACCCAUAAAGUAGACAUUUAGUAUUUGGUAACUUCUUCCUAUUAUUAUUAUUAUUAUUGUUAUUAUUAUUAUUAUUAUUAUUAUUAUUAUUAUUAUUAUUAGUUAGGGCCUCCUAACCUCCUAAAUCAAAGAAUUGUGGCCAGAGGUAUAUGAUUAGAGAUUGAGAAACUAAUGUUUCAGUCCUAAUUCAGCUACUAACGAGCUGUGCAAUCUUAUGUGACUCACUCAGUCUUCCUGAGCUUCACUUUCCCCUCUUAAAAAUGAGGAUAUUGGGGUAAAUAAUCUCUAAGGGCCCCUUGUAACUCUGACUUUCAAUAUUAAUUAUAAUUACUCCUAUGAAGCCGUUGUUUAUGUGUCAGGAUGCCCAGCAAUGCACAUGUGUUACCUAUUCAAGUAUUACUCUCCUUCAUUAUUAUACUUCAUUUUACAAGUGAAGAAAAUAAAGUUUACAGAAGCUUAGAAA